ACUUCAUCAUGACCUACUCAAUCAUGAAGGACUGCUCAUUCACAUGCACUACAUUACUGUACUCUGCUUUUCUUCUUUGUUUCACUCUCAUCCUGUAAGCUCCAUUGCCAGACCACCAUCUUCUUUUGAUCAUAUACUUGGACAAGAGAAUGGGUGUGUUGCUCCUCCUGAUAACAAUAAUCUGCACGGCGACAUCCCGCUAUCGAUCGGACUGCACUGAUGUGCUCUUCGAGCUUGCUCCCUGCCUUGACUAUGUGACUGAUGCUUCAACCUGUCCAUCCUUGGACUGCUGCAAGCAGUUAACCAAUGUGAUCAAGACUCAGCCUCUCUGCCUUUGUGCUGUCUUCGAUGGAACAGCAUCGAAGCUGCUUGGAGUCCCCAUUGACACCGACCGUGCCAUCAAUCUCCCUGAAGCGUGCCAAGAAGAAGAAGAAGAGUUACCUCAGGCCUUGCCAACUUCAGCAGCUCUAAGAAAUCAUAUCCCUGCCGUGCCACCACCUGCUGGAAUUCCUUGAGAAGAUGGUGAAAGAGGAUCACUUGGAGAGAAACAUCCUAAGCUGCUAAAAUCUCAAGCUACCUGCUUAUUUCUCAGAGACCUCACUCACUUGCUGUGCUCGGACAAUUAGAACCUCCUUAUUAGCUGCUGAAUGCAGUUGUCUGGUUGUGCUCUGUUGUCAUAUCUCUUCAUGUUAGUUGUUUGUCCACUCUCUGUUCAUAUCAGUUUGGAAGGGUUUUGAUGCAUCAGAUUCA
Molecule: long non-coding RNA, 750 nt
Organism: Musa acuminata subsp. malaccensis (wild Malaysian banana)
Lineage: Eukaryota; Viridiplantae; Streptophyta; Magnoliopsida; Zingiberales; Musaceae
Source: RefSeq, a predicted model, not a curated record